UCGAGGGGCAUCACGGAAAAGCUUGCUUUUCUGGUGGCGACCGGCGCACGGGUGCGGAACGCGUAUGGAACCUGCCCCUGUCAGGGGAAUAGCCCAGGGAAACUUGGAUUAAUGCCCCAUGGUACCGUUAUAUCGCAUGAUAUUGCGGUUAAAGAUUUAUCGGACAGGGAUGGCCAUGCGUACCAUUAGUUAGUUGGUGGGGUAACGGCCCACCAAGGCAGCGAUGGUUAGGGGCCCUGAGAGGGGGAUCCCCCACACUGGUACUGAGACACGGACCAGACUCCUACGGGAGGCAGCAGUGAGGAAUAUUGGACAAUGGGCGGGAGCCUGAUCCAGCCAUGCCGCGUGCAGGAUGACGGCCCUAUGGGUUGUAAACUGCUUUUAUACGGGAAGAAAUGCGCCCACGUGUGGGCGUCUGACGGUACCGUAAGAAUAAGGACCGGCUAACUCCGUGCCAGCAGCCGCGGUAAUACGGAGGGUCCGAGCGUUAUCCGGAAUCAUUGGGUUUAAAGGGUCCGUAGGCGGGCCUGUAAGUCAGGGGUGAAAGUUUGUGGCUCAACCAUAAAAUUGCCUUUGAUACUGCAGGUCUUGAGUCAUGGUGGGGUCGCCGGAACAUGUGGUGUAGCGGUGAAAUGCAUAGAUAUCACAUAGAACACCGAUCGCGAAGGCAGGUGGCCAACCAUGUACUGACGCUGAUGGACGAAAGCGUGGGUAGCGAACGGGAUUAGAUACCCCGGUAGUCCACGCCGUAAACGAUGGAUACUAGCUGUGGGGACUUCGGUCUCCGUGGCCAAGCGAAA
This 800-nucleotide ribosomal RNA is filed under the name Allomuricauda sp. Its description in RNAcentral is "bacterial SSU rRNA". It matches the Rfam family "Bacterial small subunit ribosomal RNA", at positions 62 to 856 of the family's 1533-position model. The record is from RNAcentral. Lineage: Bacteria; Pseudomonadati; Bacteroidota; Flavobacteriia; Flavobacteriales; Flavobacteriaceae.